Non-coding RNA from Ictidomys tridecemlineatus (thirteen-lined ground squirrel), 835 nucleotides. NCBI's taxonomy places the organism in Eukaryota, Metazoa, Chordata, Mammalia, Rodentia, Sciuridae. The record is from RefSeq and is a predicted model, not a curated record.
AGACAUGCGCCGUCACCUCGGAAACGGCCGCGCGGGGGCGAGAACUCGCCGGGGCGGGAGCCGCAAUGCGAUCUCAGUAAGCGCUAGACUCGAGUCACGUGACCCGCCAGCGUCUACCCUGUCCUCUGGCCUUUAGUCAGAACAGAUUACACAAACGAACAACCAGAGACUACGUAACCCAGAAUGCAAACUCGGUCCCGGGUUAUAAAUUCCCUUCCGCUUUAGGGAGAGAGACUACAAAUCCCAGCAGUCUGUGCGCUUCCAGGACGAGGCCUGUGCGGAAGUGGAUUGGCCCCUCCGGACCCUGGAGAUAGAGCAAAGAAUGUUCCAUGGAUUAGCUCCCCCCAUUAAUAAACGUGAGUUCGGGGCAUACUCCUCCUCUUUCUUGCCUGCCUUGCUCAGCUUAUGGGAGCUGUGGCUGAGGAGCGGUCACUGAACCCAAAAAAAAAGAUGGCAGAACAAAACAACAGCAGCAGCAACAACAACAACAAAAAAACCCACACCAUAUAAAUAAAUAACUGUGAGAUUGGACCUCAAUAUUUCUGAAUCUUUGAUGGCCGGUGGCAAGCAUAAAAUGUCUAUUCUAAAAGUUCUAGAAUUUUCCCUUAAUGACUCUAAAGAGAGAGCAUGAAAAAAUGUAUCAGUCUUAGAGGAAUCAAUCACUUUGACGACUAUUUUUGCCAUGCACAUAUGAGCAAAUACCUUUGCCUUGGAUCCUGAGAGAUUUCUAGUUAUUGGUAAAAUCAUCCUAGUGCAAAUAUAAAAUUUUUAAAUGAGAAUUUAAAAAGCUCAAUAUGCUAGGUUCUUAUCUCUAAUACACAUGUAGGAAAAUAAG